GGUGAACGCUGGCGGUAGGCCUAACACAUGCAAGUCGAACGGCAGCACAGGAGAGCUUGCUCUCUGGGUGGCGAGUGGCGGACGGGUGAGGAAUACAUCGGAAUCUACUCUGUCGUGGGGGAUAACGUAGGGAAACUUACGCUAAUACCGCAUACGACCUACGGGUGAAAGCAGGGGACCUUCGGGCCUUGCGCGAUUGAAUGAGCCGACGUCGGAUUAGCUAGUUGGCGGGGUAAAGGCCCACCAAGGCGACGAUCCGUAGCUGGUCUGAGAGGAUGAUCAGCCACACUGGAACUGAGACACGGUCCAGACUCCUACGGGAGGCAGCAGUGGGGAAUAUUGGACAAUGGGCGCAAGCCUGAUCCAGCCAUACCGCGUGGGUGAAGAAGGCCUUCGGGUUGUAAAGCCCUUUUGUUGGGAAAGAAAUCCAGCUGGCUAAUACCCGGUUGGGAUGACGGUACCCAAAGAAUAAGCACCGGCUAACUUCGUGCCAGCAGCCGCAGUAA
This 506-nucleotide ribosomal RNA is filed under the name uncultured bacterium. RNAcentral describes it as "partial 16S ribosomal RNA". It matches the Rfam family "Bacterial small subunit ribosomal RNA", at positions 28 to 523 of the family's 1533-position model. The record is from RNAcentral.